GACAGAGGGGGCAAGCGUUGCUCGGAAUCACUGGGCGUAAAGGGCGCGUAGGCGGGAUGGCAAGUCGGUCGUGAAAUCCUUCGGCUCAACCGAAGAACGUCGGCCGAUACUGCCGUUCUUGAGGGAUGCAGAGGAGAUUGGAAUUCCCGGUGUAGCGGUGAAAUGUGUAGAGAUCGGGAGGAACACCGGUGGCGAAGGCGGCUUCCUGGACCGACACUGACGCUGAGGCGCGAAAGCUAGGGGAGCAAACGGG
This 253-nucleotide ribosomal RNA is filed under the name uncultured bacterium. Its description in RNAcentral is "partial 16S ribosomal RNA". It matches the Rfam family "Bacterial small subunit ribosomal RNA", at positions 524 to 776 of the family's 1533-position model. The record is from RNAcentral.